RNAcentral lists this transfer RNA (69 nucleotides) under Marmota monax (woodchuck). Its description in RNAcentral is "tRNA.Ala". The record is from RNAcentral. Lineage: Eukaryota; Metazoa; Chordata; Mammalia; Rodentia; Sciuridae.
GGGAUGUAGUUCAAUGGUAGAAACUUGCCUAGCAUACCCAAGACCCUGGGUUCAAUCCCCAGGAUCCCA